GAUGAACGCUGGCGGCGUGCUUAACACAUGCAAGUCGAACGGAAAGGCCCUGCUUUUGUGGGGUGCUCGAGUGGCGAACGGGUGAGUAACACGUGAGUAACCUGCCCUUGACUUUGGGAUAACUUCAGGAAACUGGGGCUAAUACCGGAUAGGAGCUCCUGCUGCAUGGUGGGGGUUGGAAAGUUUCGGCGGUUGGGGAUGGACUCGCGGCUUAUCAGCUUGUUGGUGGGGUAGUGGCUUACAAAGGCUUUGACGGGUAGCCGGCCUGAGAGGGUGACCGGCCACAUUGCGACUGCGAUACGGCCCAGACUCCUACGGGAGGCAGCAGUGGAGAAUAUUGCACAAUGGGCCGAAGCCUGAUGCAGCAACGCCGCGUUCGGGAUGACGGCCUUCGGGUUGUAAACCGCUUUCGCCGGUGACGAAGCGGUAGUGACGGUAAUGGGUAAAGAAGCACCGGCUAACUACGUG
RNAcentral lists this ribosomal RNA (468 nucleotides) under uncultured bacterium. RNAcentral's name for it is "partial 16S ribosomal RNA". It matches the Rfam family "Bacterial small subunit ribosomal RNA", at positions 28 to 507 of the family's 1533-position model. The record is from RNAcentral.